GAAAAAGAUAUGCUGUAAAGGUGGUGAUACUAUAAAGGGUAUUGAGAUAAAAGAACCAGAGAAGCCUAAACCGGCGCCAGAAAAACCCAAAGAAGCACCAAAAGAGCCCGAGAAAACUAAACCUCCACCAGAAAAGCCUAAAGAAGCUAAACCUGAUAAGCCUGUAGUAGUUAUUGUUGAACCACAACCAAAAGAGCCCGAGAAAACUAAACCUCCACAAGAAAAGCCUAAAGAAGCUAAAUCUGAUAAGCCAGUAGUUAUUGUUGAACCACCAAAAGAAAAACCAAAAGAAAAACCAAAAGAUCCUGCCGCGCCUCCUAAGGCUCCUGAAGCGGCAGCUAAACCUCCUGAAUCGGCUUCUAAGCCACCUGCACCGGCUCCUAAGGCUCCUGAACCUGUCCCAUGUUACCCACCA
RNAcentral lists this long non-coding RNA (415 nucleotides) under Ricinus communis (castor bean). RNAcentral's name for it is "long non-coding RNA (RCOM_LNC001534)". Lineage: Eukaryota; Viridiplantae; Streptophyta; Magnoliopsida; Malpighiales; Euphorbiaceae. The record is from RNAcentral.